This 465-nucleotide ribosomal RNA is filed under the name uncultured bacterium. RNAcentral describes it as "partial 16S ribosomal RNA". It matches the Rfam family "Bacterial small subunit ribosomal RNA", at positions 28 to 507 of the family's 1533-position model. The record is from RNAcentral.
GACGAACGCUGGCGGCGUGCUUAACACAUGCAAGUCGAACGGAAAGGCCCUGCUUGCAGGGUACUCGGGUGGCGAACGGGUGAGUAACACGUGGGUGAUCUGCCCUGCACUUCGGGAUAAGCCUGGGAAACUGGGUCUAAUACCGGAUAGGAGCCAUUUUUAGUGUGAUGGUUGGAAAGUUUUUUCGGUGUAGGAUGAGCUCGCGGCCUAUCAGCUUGUUGGUGGGGUAAUGGCCUACCAAGGCGGCGACGGGUAGCCGGCCUGAGAGGGUGGACGGCCACAUUGGGACUGAGAUACGGCCCAGACUCCUACGGGAGGCAGCGGUGGGGAAUAUUGCACAAUGGGCGCAAGCCUGAUGCAGCGACGCCGCGUGGGGGAUGACGGCCUUCGGGUUGUAAACUCCUUUCGCUAGGGACGAAGCUUUUUGUGACGGUACCUAGAUAAGAAGCACCGGCUAACUACGUG